Ailuropoda melanoleuca (giant panda) is the source of this 86-nucleotide non-coding RNA. Lineage: Eukaryota; Metazoa; Chordata; Mammalia; Carnivora; Ursidae. The record is from Rfam.
AGGCCCCUCCUUCCCAGCCACAGCUCCCGCUCACCCCUGCCACGUCAAAGGAGGCAGAAGGGGAGUCGGGAGCAGAGAGGGGACCA